CCUACGGGUGGCAGCAGUAGGGAAUAUUGCUCAAUGGGGGAAACCCUGAAGCAGCAACGCCGCGUGGAGGAUGAAGGUUUUCGGAUUGUAAACUCCUUUUGUUAGGGAAGAUAAUGACGGUAUCUAACGAAUAAGCACCUGCUAACUCCGUGCCAGCAGCCGCGGUAAUACGGAGGGUGCAAGCGUUACUCGGAAUCACUGGGCGUAACGCGCGAGUAGGCGGGAGAGCAAGUCAGAUGUGAAAUCCUAUGGCUUAACCAUAGAACUGCAUUUGAAACUGUUAGUCUGGAGUAUGGGAGAGGUAGGUAGAAUUCUUGGUGUAGGGGUGAAAUCCGUAGAGAUCAAGAGGAAUAC
Molecule: ribosomal RNA, 354 nt
Filed under: uncultured bacterium
Lineage: Bacteria
Description: partial 16S ribosomal RNA
Rfam family: Bacterial small subunit ribosomal RNA
Source: RNAcentral